AUACGUAGGGAGCGAGCGUUGUCCGGAAUUACUGGGCGUAAAGGGCGCGUAGGCGGCGCUUCAAGUCGUCUGUCAAAUGGGAGGGCUUAACCCUUUUUCGCAGACGAAACUGGAGAGCUUGAGAAGCAGAGAGGCAAACAGAAUUCCUGGUGUAGCGGUGAAAUGCGUAGAUAUCAGGAAGAAUACCAGUGGCGAAGGCGGUUUGCUGGCUGCAUACUGACGCUGAAGCGCGAAAGCCAGGGGAGCAAACGGGAUUAGAUACCCCGGUAGUCCUGGCAGUAAACGAUGUAUGCUGGGUGUGAGACUAGCGAUAGUUUCGUGCCGAAGUUAACGCGAUAAGCAUACCGCCUGGGGAGUACGGUCGCAAGAUUGAAACUCAAAGGAAUUGGCGGGG
Molecule: ribosomal RNA, 394 nt
Filed under: uncultured bacterium
Lineage: Bacteria
Description: partial 16S ribosomal RNA
Rfam family: Bacterial small subunit ribosomal RNA
Source: RNAcentral